UUCCUGGUGGUCUAAUGGCUAAGACUCUGUGCUCCCAAUGCAGGGGGCCCAGGUUUGAACCCUGGUCAGAGAA
Molecule: transfer RNA, 73 nt
Filed under: Bos taurus (domestic cattle)
Lineage: Eukaryota; Metazoa; Chordata; Mammalia; Artiodactyla; Bovidae
Also listed under: 4 other names
Rfam family: tRNA
About the family: Transfer RNA (tRNA) molecules are approximately 80 nucleotides in length.
Source: Rfam by way of RNAcentral